UUGUUAGUCUCUUGUCUUCCUAUAAAGAAUGUAGUUUGUUCCAAACUUGUCUUAUCUUUUUGCAAUCGAUUUUUCGCCUAUCAUUGGUCAACAUUUCCAAACAGGGGAUGAAGAGAAGAAGUCAAUCGAUCGUUGCGGUCCGUGGCUUUGGUUACCGUCAGUUUUCGUGUUUUUUUUUCUUAUCACAAAAACAGAUGUCCCUUCCAUUCUCAGCAACAAGCAGUCUUACUAACGUCAUUGGUAAUUCCAAAGAUCCGCGUGAGAAAAACAACGUUGACCUGUGCAUGGAGUUAGUACGUAAAGGCUCGUGUUACACGAAAGGAGAAGUAAGAAAAACAAGACUAACCGCUACAAGAUGUAUAGGAAAGAUUACCGACAUCGUCAAUCAAACGCUGUUUGACAUGUGGAUCGUUCUUUAUCUCGUAGAACGAAGCAAAAACAACUUGUGAUCCUGCUACUGGCAGUAAAAAGCCUCUGAUUGUCAUCGGAAUCUCGCACUCGACUGGCAGAGAUCCGCCAUGGAAAAGGCAACGGAAAAAAAGGAUAAUUCCGGCAGCGAAACGGAGGACUGUUCAGCCAAGGCACCUCAAGCUACCGUCACCGUCAUUCGUUUAAAAGCUAAACAUGAUGGCGGAGACGGUUCGCCUCCGCAACCCUGGUGGAGAAAACGGAAAGAGCGCAUUUUUCGCAAGAAAACGCUCUACUCACGUUUCCCAAUCCUGAAAUGGUUAUCUGUUUACUCUGCCCAGGAUUUCGUGGCCGAUCUGGUGGCCGGCAUUACCAUCGGAGUGACAGUCAUCCCGCAAGGAUUGGCUUACGCAACCGUGGCUGGACUUCCUCCUCAAUAUGGGCUAUACGCUUCGUAUAUGGGAUGCCUCGUUUACGCACUGCUAGGCAGCACGCACGCCAUUACUAUCGGUCCAACGGCUCUUAUGGCUCUUGUUACCUACGAUUCCGGUGCCACGUUGAUGGGCCCCGAGGCUGCUGUUCUCUUAGCUUUCCUGACGGGCUGCAUCGUUCUUCUCCUCGGACUGCUUAACUUCGGAUUCUUAAUUGAUUUUAUCGCCGCUCCGGUCGUGGCCGGCUUCACUAGUGCUUCCGCUUUUACUAUCGCAACGACUCAGAUUGAAUCUCUUCUCGGCCUCAAAUUCGAGGAGGAGGGUUUCCUGCACACUUGGAUCGCUGUAUUUGAACAUAUAGAGGAAACCAAAAAAUGGGAUGCCGUGUUGGGAUUCUCUUCCGUCGCCGUUCUACUUCUCCUUCGGGUAUUUGAUCAAAUUCAAUUGGGCAAAGAAGGAGAAAUGACUCGUUGGCAACGGUGGUUCAAUUCCGGCUGUUGGUUGAUAUCCGUCUCGCGCAAUGCCAUUGUUAUUAUCGUUGGAUCGUUAAUCGCUUACGCAUUAACAGAGCCUGGAAGCGACAGUUACCCAUUCACGCUGACCGGUACCAUUCCGGGCGGAUUUCCGCCUUUCAAAUUACCCGCGUUCUCCAUCCAGAACGGUGACGAAUCCUACACGUUUGUUGAGAUAUGCAAAAAUCUAGGCUCCUCCCUCUAUGUUGCUCCGCUUGUUGCUGUUCUUGAAUCCAUUGCCAUCGCUAAAGCAUUCGCUAAAGGGAAAAGGGUGGACGCCAGUCAGGAAAUGAUAGCAAUCGGUACGAGUAAUAUUUUGGGCUCUUUCGCAUCGUCUUUUCCCAUCACCGGUUCUUUUUCGCGAACAUCCGUCAAUGCCGCCAGUGGCGUGAGGACACCUUUCGGCGGAUUAUACACCGCUGCCCUUGUUAUUUUGGCCAUCACCGUUUUGACACCGUACUUUUUUUUCAUUCCGAAAAGUUGUCUUGCGGCUGUAAUUAUUUGCGCUGUCAUUUUCAUGGUGGAAGUCCAUUUGGUGAAAAUGGUUUGGAGAUCAAAGAGGAUUGAUUUGAUCCCGUUUGGAGUCACGUUCGUCUUUUGUCUUUUCGUCGGGCUCGAACAAGGCAUUUUAAUCGGCACGGCCGUUAAUUUGGGAAUGUUACUCUACAGCACUGCUCGACCGCGUAUUCGGAUCCACAAAAUUCAGACUCCGAGCGUAGAGUAUCUACUGAUCACCCCAGAUCGAAGUUUGGUCUUCACCGCUAUGGAAUAUUUCAUGUCGAGCGUUCGCAAGUCCUCGGCUCUUUAUCCCGGUAUCAUCGUUGUCAUGGAUAUGAGCCACGUCUCUUCCGCAGAUUUCACAACUGCCUACGGAUUCGAGAAUAUGAUCAAAAGCCUUCACAAGCACCACCACAAGCUCGUCCUGACUAAAACGAAGCCGGAUGUGUUGCGGAUUUUAUCACGAAUGGGAUGUGAUUUACACGUUCAUGGUGACGGAACGGAUCUGGAACUUUUAUUGAAAGAUGUUGCAACGUCGACUUCAACGCCUGUGAGGUUAUCCGUCGCAUCAUCUUCAUCGUCUUCUUCGAGCGAUGGACAAAGUUCUCAAGUUGAAGAGACUUCGGUGAAUGUUUCAAUCGAUCCGGAUUUGGAAAAGUGAAACUGCGUGGAAAUUGGAAUUGUUUAAUAGUCUUUCGUCGUUGCGUCCUACCUUUUGGAACCCCAGUGGUAAUCAUGGAACAGUAUACUUAGGCAUAAAUUAUAGAAGAUGUGAUAUAGAAGAAUUAUUCUUUAAAUGGACGAAAACAGACGUUCGAUGGGAAGUUCCGAGUCAUCCGGUUGCUGUUUUAACUUCUUGAACAUUAGAACGAGCAGAAAGUUGAUGAUGUUGUUUCCAAAUUCUAGCGCUGCGAACGAAGUGUGCGUCGAGUUGUAACAACACAGAUCGUAAAACAAAAACAGUGUUAGCCCAAUGAUGAUCAGUCAAACGUUUCAUCCUGCUGCAGUGAAGGACUCAAUUUAAAUUAAGUUCAGUUAAUUUAUCUAUGGUGGUGAUACCUUUUCAUCUUGUCCAUCAACUUGCUAGGGUUAUGGCUGGCAAAGUUUCAUUCACGUAGCGCGUAGAAUUCCAGACAGGCUGAAAAUGUGUGUAUCCUCUUGUACAGCCCAAUCUGAGCUCCGUAAUGAAUUUGUCUUUUACGAAAGGUCGUGUUGCAAAGCCUCUGCUUGUCCUGCUCAC
RNAcentral lists this unclassified non-coding RNA (3089 nucleotides) under Daphnia magna. Its description in RNAcentral is "sodium-independent sulfate anion transporter, transcript variant X3". The record is from RNAcentral. Lineage: Eukaryota; Metazoa; Arthropoda; Branchiopoda; Diplostraca; Daphniidae.